UGACCCAUUGUGUAACGGUAGCACGGCAGAUUUUGGUUCUGUUAGUCAAGGUUCGAAACCUUGUGGGUCAA
Molecule: transfer RNA, 71 nt
Filed under: Saprospiraceae bacterium
Lineage: Bacteria; Pseudomonadati; Bacteroidota; Saprospiria; Saprospirales; Saprospiraceae
Also listed under: 2 other names
Description: tRNA-Gln
Rfam family: tRNA
About the family: Transfer RNA (tRNA) molecules are approximately 80 nucleotides in length. Their secondary structure includes four short double-helical elements and three loops (D, anti-codon, and T loops).
Source: RNAcentral